Danio rerio (zebrafish) is the source of this 875-nucleotide non-coding RNA. The record is from RefSeq and is a predicted model, not a curated record. Lineage: Eukaryota; Metazoa; Chordata; Actinopteri; Cypriniformes; Danionidae.
CCCUCAGCUUGACACAAGCUGCCGAGCUCUCAGCCUCGACCGACGGCUCAUCCGUCAACAGCCUGUGUGAACGAGCCGGAGAACGCAGCUUUUCUCUCUCUCUCUUUCUCUCUCUGUGUGUGUUUCUCUUUCUCUAGCCCUCCCCGCCUGCCUCCCUCUUUCCCCGCUGUCUCUCUCUCUUCCGCUCAGCGCAAUGACAGUCGAUGUGUCUUCACCUUGCGAUGCUUCCCGCUGCUGUGAACGCUGUAACAAACCGAGACCACCCUGACCUCUGUGAGGGAGACGGAGACAGACGCUGUGCUGCCACCUGAGAGAAAAACAUGCUUCCUGUGAUUCUGUGCAAGUCAAUUUCAAUGGCUGGCUUAUGUAAAGCUGACUGUGUGUAGCCAAGAUAUUGUUGCAGACUGUUGAUGGAAACAGUCUUGAACCAGCCUGAUAACACAGCUGAACGUACAAGAAACAUCCUUGAGUCUUUAGCACAGAUGGUCGUUUGUGUCUAUUGUUUUCCUGGUUUAGCUUUCUACAGGUCGGAUAUCAGCUCGUAAUAACUUAGGGCGACCUCACCUCUAGGCAUCAGGUCGCCAUCCAUAUCUGGAGACAAAUACAAGGCUUUCUUUGACGCACACACUAAGGCCAUCCAUAUCUGGAAGUAGAUACUAUGUUUCUUUGACGCAUGUAUUUAGAAUUGUCUAUUUCUGUUGUAACCAAUGAGAACUGUUUACCUGGAUCCCACCUUUUCUGGACUUGUGUAAAGAGUAUAAUUGUUCGAUUGCUGUGAUUGUAAGUCAGAUCGGCCUGCGAGCUCAUCCGAGUGUGAAGCCCUUCUGCCAUAGAACUGCAAACUAUCUUCAGUAAAUUUUUCAUUUUUAAUUGCA